RNAcentral lists this transfer RNA (85 nucleotides) under Felis catus (domestic cat). It matches the Rfam family "tRNA". Rfam says of the family: Transfer RNA (tRNA) molecules are approximately 80 nucleotides in length. Their secondary structure includes four short double-helical elements and three loops (D, anti-codon, and T loops). The record is from Rfam by way of RNAcentral. Lineage: Eukaryota; Metazoa; Chordata; Mammalia; Carnivora; Felidae.
GCCUGGGUGGCUCAGACAGUUAAGUGUCUGACUUUAGCUCAGAUCUUGAUCUCACAGUUUGUGAGUUCGAGCCCCACAUCAGGCU